RNAcentral lists this ribosomal RNA (253 nucleotides) under uncultured bacterium. RNAcentral's name for it is "partial 16S ribosomal RNA". It matches the Rfam family "Bacterial small subunit ribosomal RNA", at positions 524 to 776 of the family's 1533-position model. The record is from RNAcentral.
UACGAAGGGUGCAAACGUUGCUCGGAAUUAUUGGGCGUAAAGCGCACGUAGGCGGCUUUGCAAGUCGGAUGUGAAAUCCCUCGGCUUAACCAAGGAAGUGCAUCCGAAACUGCAGAGCUUGAGUACUUAAGAGGAUCGCGGAAUUCCCGGUGUAGAGGUGAAAUUCGUAGAUAUCAGGAGGAACACCGGUGGCGAAGGCGGGUCUCUGGGCAACAACUGACGCUGAGGAGCGAAAGCGUGGGGAGCGAACAGG